RNAcentral lists this long non-coding RNA (970 nucleotides) under Sus scrofa (pig). RNAcentral's name for it is "lncRNA (ENSSSCG00025060159.1)". The record is from RNAcentral. Lineage: Eukaryota; Metazoa; Chordata; Mammalia; Artiodactyla; Suidae.
UAAAAAAAAUGUAUUUCUUCUGGCACUGAUGAAAACCCAUUGCACCUGGCAGAAGAAAUAAGAAACAACCCUCCAGCCCUAGAGAAGUGGUGAGGACAUAUUUUUAAUAAAAACUCUAACUGGGGGAAGGAGCAGGAACAUGAAAGCCACAUCCAGGAGACCCAGGGAUGCUUCUCUCCUUCACUUUCUGCCACAGGGCCAGGAUUGCGGGGUAAACUUCAAGAGACAGACCUCCUGUGAAACACACUAAAAGGGAAGAUUGGACCGCAAAGGUGGAAUAGAAAUGGAGGAAAAAACGUUGGGAAGCCAGCCUGUACUUUAAACACAGUAGAGCCAUUAGAACAGAACACUGAGAACCAGAGGUUUGAGUCAUGAGCAGAAACCUUUAUAUCCCAAAUCUGGACUAAAGACAAAGGUAACUUAAAAUUGGCUGUCCCCAGCAAAAUCAAUUCCCACAUGGUGAUGCAGCUAAGAAUCAUCAGUAGCCAUUACUCCUAGAAGCUCAUGGAAUUUGAAAGUACAUCUUUGUAACACUGCAGAAGCAAGUCUUCAGCUUCUUAAAAAAAAAAAAGAAAAAAAAGACCAUCACUUCAUAUACAAUCAUGUAAGUUUUCAAUGCAAUUACUGUAAGAAAUUUUGUCUUCUUGUUUAUUCGGUUCCCAUGAAUAGGGUGACAAUUUUUUUUUUAGCCUACUAUAAUGAGUGGUAAUAUUGCCUGUGUUUAUGUUUUUUGAUUUUAUGGCACUGAUUUGAGAUGACUACUCCAUUUCAAAAGUAAAAUAUCAUCUGCUUAUGACUUAAUAUAAGUAUAUAAGCACCUCACCACAAUUUUUACUGUAUAUAAUUUGGUAAAUAUAAAAAAUAACAAAUAUACAUUUAUUAGUUACAUAUAUUUAAAGUUAGCUCACUCUCUCAAAUAUAUAAACAGAGUGUGUUUGUCCAUUCAAGGAAACUAGUAAAGCAGUGUGGC